RNAcentral lists this transfer RNA (74 nucleotides) under Nematostella vectensis (starlet sea anemone). It matches the Rfam family "tRNA". Rfam says of the family: Transfer RNA (tRNA) molecules are approximately 80 nucleotides in length. Their secondary structure includes four short double-helical elements and three loops (D, anti-codon, and T loops). Further hydrogen bonds mediate the characteristic L-shaped molecular structure. tRNAs have two regions of fundamental functional importance: the anti-codon, which is responsible for specific mRNA codon recognition, and the 3' end, to which the tRNAs corresponding amino acid is attached (by aminoacyl-tRNA synthetases). tRNAs cope with the degeneracy of the genetic code in two manners: having more than one tRNA (with a specific anti-codon) for a particular amino acid; and 'wobble' base-pairing, i.e. permitting non-standard base-pairing at the 3rd anti-codon position. The record is from Rfam by way of RNAcentral. Lineage: Eukaryota; Metazoa; Cnidaria; Anthozoa; Actiniaria; Edwardsiidae.
GUUUCUGUGGCGCAAUCGGUUAGCGCGUUCGGCUGUUAACCAAAAGGUUGGUGGUUCAAACCCACCAAGGGACG